GACGAACGCUGGCGGCGUGCUUAACACAUGCAAGUCGAACGGAAAGGCCCUGCUUUUGUGGGGUGCUCGAGUGGCGAACGGGUGAGUAACACGUGAGUAACCUGCCCUUGACUUUGGGAUAACUUCAGGUAACUGGGGCUAAUACCGGAUAGGAGCUCCUGCUGCAUGGUGGGGGUUGGAAAGUUUCGGCGGUUGGGGAUGGACUCGCGGCUUAUCAGCUUGUUGGUGGGGUAGUGGCUUACCAAGGCUUUGACGGGUAGCCGGCCUGCGAGGGUGACCGGCCCCAUUGGGACUGAGAUACGGCCCAGACUCCUACGGGAGGCAGCAGUGGGGAAUAUUGCACAAUGGGCGGAAGCCUGAUGCAGCAACGCCGCGUGCGGGAUGACGGCCUUCGGGUUGUAAACCGCUUUCGCCUGUGACGAAGCGUGAGUGACGGUAAUGGGUAAAGAAGCACCGGCUAACUACGUG
Molecule: ribosomal RNA, 468 nt
Filed under: uncultured bacterium
Lineage: Bacteria
Description: partial 16S ribosomal RNA
Rfam family: Bacterial small subunit ribosomal RNA
Source: RNAcentral